This 505-nucleotide ribosomal RNA is filed under the name uncultured bacterium. RNAcentral's name for it is "bacterial SSU rRNA". It matches the Rfam family "Bacterial small subunit ribosomal RNA", at positions 15 to 507 of the family's 1533-position model. The record is from RNAcentral.
GAUCAUGGCUCAGGAUGAACGCUAGCUACAGGCUUAACACAUGCAAGUCGAGGGGAAACGAUAGAGAAAGCUUGCUUUUUCUAGGCGUCGACCGGCGCACGGGUGAGUAACGCGUAUCCAACCUGCCCAUCACUUGGGGAUAACCUUGCGAAAGUAAGACUAAUACCCAAUGACGUCUCUAGAAGACAUCUGAAAGAGAUUAAAGAUUUAUCGGUGAUGGAUGGGGAUGCGUCUGAUUAGCUUGUUGGCGGGGUAACGGCCCACCAAGGCGACGAUCAGUAGGGGUUCUGAGAGGAAGGUCCCCCACAUUGGAACUGAGACACGGUCCAAACUCCUACGGGAGGCAGCAGUGAGGAAUAUUGGUCAAUGGACGAGAGUCUGAACCAGCCAAGUAGCGUGCAGGAAGACGGCCCUAUGGGUUGUAAACUGCUUUUAUAAGGGAAUAAAGUGAGUCUCGUGAGACUUUUUGCAUGUACCUUAUGAAUAAGGACCGGCUAAUUCCGUG